Suricata suricatta (meerkat) is the source of this 820-nucleotide long non-coding RNA. RefSeq lists it as uncharacterized. The record is from RefSeq and is a predicted model, not a curated record. NCBI's taxonomy places the organism in Eukaryota, Metazoa, Chordata, Mammalia, Carnivora, Herpestidae. The transcript has 5 exons.
GAUAGGUGUGCAAGACUGGGUUCCUGUUCUCAGGGACUUUACAUUCUAGUAGUGGAGACAACCAAUAAUCAUUUUUGUCCUCAGAUCCUUCACUCAAUAAACCACAUGCACAAGAAUUCUUAUCACAGACUAUCCUGCUAAGAAUCACAACCUAAGACAAUGGGAAAAAGUCUGGUGUCAUGGAAGGACAGCAAAAGAAACCAGUAUGGUGGAAGCAUAGUGACCAAGGGAGAGAGUCAGGACACAAAUACAUGGAGAAAAAAGGAACAACUGAAGGAAAACUAUACAGCCUAGAUAAAAAGCUUAGAUUUCAUUCAAAGGACAAUGGGAAGCCUUUGGAAGAUGGAUUUAGUAUAUGCUGAUGUCUUUCUACAUCUUUAAGCCUGGAUGCAUCUGGUCUGCAAGGCUGCCCCUCCUACACAUGGAGCUGCCUGGAAGUCUUUGCUACAUGAUUGCUGCCCCAAAACUGCCCUCAACAAUGAGGGAUGGAAUUGGUGGAUAAAUUCCCCAGCUGCCUCCGCCCUCAGAGGGACAAUUCUACAGUAUAUGUAUCAUCAUGAAAUAUGUUGUCAAGAUUAAGGAGGUUUCACUGCAAUGGAUUGUAAGAGCACUGGAGCAGCUGAUACACUGAGGUGCCAUUAAAAAUUCUAUCACCACUGAAGGAUACUCUCAAUGCAGGCAAGAUUGCUUUGGGUCUUUGUGGAAUCCUGGAAUUAGAAGAAGUCUUGAAAGACCAUUCUGAUGGUAUUGGCUUUCCAUCAAUAUUUGUGAAGUUGAAUUAAAAAGUAUUCAAUAUGAGAAAUAGACAGAAAAUAUGCAA